RNAcentral lists this ribosomal RNA (264 nucleotides) under uncultured archaeon. RNAcentral's name for it is "partial 16S ribosomal RNA". It matches the Rfam family "Archaeal small subunit ribosomal RNA", at positions 718 to 982 of the family's 1478-position model. The record is from RNAcentral.
AGUCACUGACAUUAGAUACCCCGGUAGUCCCAGCCGUAAACAAUGUGCGUUAGGUGUGUCGGUGACCACGCGUUACUGAUGCGCCGAAGAGAAAUCGUGAAACGCACCACCUGGGAAGCACGGUCGCAAGGCUGAAACUUAAAGGAAUUGGCGGGGAGCACCACAACAGGUGGAGCCUGCGGUUUAAUUGGAUUCAACGCCGGACAUCUCACCGGAUAAGACAGCUGAAUGAUUGUCAAUCUGAAGGUUUUACAUGACUAGCUG